This 2209-nucleotide ribosomal RNA is filed under the name Salmonella enterica subsp. enterica serovar Monschaui. RNAcentral's name for it is "partial 23S ribosomal RNA". It matches the Rfam family "Bacterial large subunit ribosomal RNA", at positions 1 to 2141 of the family's 2925-position model. Lineage: Bacteria; Pseudomonadati; Pseudomonadota; Gammaproteobacteria; Enterobacterales; Enterobacteriaceae. The record is from RNAcentral.
GGGUUGUGAGGUUAAGCGACUAAGCGUACACGGUGGAUGCCCUGGCAGUCAGAGGCGAUGAAGGGCGUGCUAAUCUGCGAUAAGCGCCGGUAAGGUGAUAUGAACCGUUAUAACCGGCGAUACCCGAAUGGGGAAACCCAGUGUGAUUCGUCACACUAUCAUUAACUGAAUCCAUAGGUUAAUGAGGCGAACCGGGGGAACUGAAACAUCUAAGUACCCCGAGGAAAAGAAAUCAACCGAGAUUCCCCCAGUAGCGGCGAGCGAACGGGGAGGAGCCCAGAGCCUGAAUCAGCAUGUGUGUUAGUGGAAGCGUCUGGAAAGGCGCGCGAUACAGGGUGACAGCCCCGUACACAAAAGCGCAUGUGCUGUGAGCUCGAUGAGUAGGGCGGGACACGUGGUAUCCUGUCUGAAUAUGGGGGGACCAUCCUCCAAGGCUAAAUACUCCUGACUGACCGAUAGUGAACCAGUACCGUGAGGGAAAGGCGAAAAGAACCCCGGCGAGGGGAGUGAAAAAGAACCUGAAACCGUGUACGUACAAGCAGUGGGAGCACAGGUUUACCUGUGUGACUGCGUACCUUUUGUAUAAUGGGUCAGCGACUUAUAUUCUGUAGCAAGGUUAACCGCAUAGGGGAGCCGGAGGGAAACCGAGUCUUAAUUGGGCGUUAAGUUGCAGGGUAUAGACCCGAAACCCGGUGAUCUAGCCAUGGGCAGGUUGAAGGUUGGGUAACACUAACUGGAGGACCGAACCGACUAAUGUUGAAAAAUUAGCGGAUGACCUGUGGCUGGGGGUGAAAGGCCAAUCAAACCGGGAGAUAGCUGGUUCUCCCCGAAAGCUAUUUAGGUAGCGCCUCGUGAAUUCAUCUCCGGGGGUAGAGCACUGUUUCGGCUAGGGGGCCAUCCCGGCUUACCAACCCGAUGCAAACUGCGAAUACCGGAGAAUGUUAUCACGGGAGACACACGGCGGGUGCUAACGUCCGUCGUGAAGAGGGAAACAACCCAGACCGCCAGCUAAGGUCCCAAAGUCAUGGUUAAGUGGGAAACGAUGUGGGAAGGCCCAGACAGCCAGGAUGUUGGCUUAGAAGCAGCCAUCAUUUAAAGAAAGCGUAAUAGCUCACUGGUCGAGUCGGCCUGCGCGGAAGAUGUAACGGGGCUAAACCAUGCACCGAAGCUGCGGCAGCGAACGUAUCACUUAAAGCGAUUCAGCGGGUUACGAUUGACGGAGCGAAGCGACGUCAAAGCGUAUACAAAGUCGAGUCGGUUUAAGGAUACGUUCGUUGGGUAGGGGAGCGUUCUGUAAGCCUGUGAAGGUGGCCUGUGAGGGUUGCUGGAGGUAUCAGAAGUGCGAAUGCUGACAUAAGUAACGAUAAAGCGGGUGAAAAGCCCGCUCGCCGGAAGACCAAGGGUUCCUGUCCAACGUUAAUCGGGGCAGGGUGAGUCGACCCCUAAGGCGAGGCCGAAAGGCGUAGUCGAUGGGAAACGGGUUAAUAUUCCCGUACUUGGUGUUACUGCGAAGGGGGGACGGAGAAGGCUAUGUUGGCCGGGCGACGGUUGUCCCGGUUUAAGCGUGUAGGUGUGUGUUCCAGGUAAAUCCGGUUCACUUUAACACUGAGGCGUGAUGACGAGGCACUACGGUGCUGAAGCAACAAAUGCCCUGCUUCCAGGAAAAGCCUCUAAGCAUCAGGUAACAUCAAAUCGUACCCCAAACCGACACAGGUGGUCAGGUAGAGAAUACCAAGGCGCUUGAGAGAACUCGGGUGAAGGAACUAGGCAAAAUGGUGCCGUAACUUCGGGAGAAGGCACGCUGACAUGUAGGUGAAGUGAUUUACUCAUGGAGCUGAAGUCAGUCGAAGAUACCAGCUGGCUGCAACUGUUUAUUAAAAACACAGCACUGUGCAAACACGAAAGUGGACGUAUACGGUGUGACGCCUGCCCGGUGCCGGAAGGUUAAUUGAUGGGGUCAGCGCAAGCGAAGCUCCUGAUCGAAGCCCCGGUAAACGGCGGCCGUAACUAUAACGGUCCUAAGGUAGCGAAAUUCCUUGUCGGGUAAGUUCCGACCUGCACGAAUGGCGUAAUGAUGGCCAGGCUGUCUCCACCCGAGACUCAGUGAAAUUGAACUCGCUGUGAAGAUGCAGUGUACCCGCGGCAAGACGGAAAGACCCCGUGAACCUUUACUAUAGCUUGACACUGAACAUUGAGCCUUGAUGUGUAG